This is a non-coding RNA of Acanthosepion pharaonis, 112 nucleotides long. NCBI's taxonomy places the organism in Eukaryota, Metazoa, Mollusca, Cephalopoda, Sepiida, Sepiidae. The record is from the annotation of a GenBank genome assembly.
UUGCAGCCACAGCACGUUGAAACACAGGUUCCCGUACGAUCAUCGAAGUUAAGCAAUGUCGAGCCUGGUCAGUACUUAAAUUGUGACCGCUUGGGAAUGUUUAGGUGCUGUA